ACCGGCUGAAAAAUCACCCAUGUCUCUGGAUAUGGAGUUGGAUGAAAUUCAGUGCCCGGGAUCAGUGUGGCCUCAGCUUACUACCUGCUCUGCAGUGUGGGGAGGUGAAAUCCAGGCCCUACCAUAC
Small nucleolar RNA from Sorex araneus (European shrew), 127 nucleotides. Lineage: Eukaryota; Metazoa; Chordata; Mammalia; Eulipotyphla; Soricidae. The record is from Ensembl.